RNAcentral lists this ribosomal RNA (253 nucleotides) under uncultured bacterium. RNAcentral describes it as "partial 16S ribosomal RNA". It matches the Rfam family "Bacterial small subunit ribosomal RNA", at positions 524 to 776 of the family's 1533-position model. The record is from RNAcentral.
UACGGAGGGGGCUAGCGUUGUUCGGAAUUACUGGGCGUAAAGCGCACGUAGGCGGCUUUGUAAGUUAGGGGUGAAAGCCCGGAGCUCAACUCCGGAAUUGCCUUUAAGACUGCAUCGCUUGAAUCCGGGAGAGGUGAGUGGAAUUCCGAGUGUAGAGGUGAAAUUCGUAGAUAUUCGGAAGAACACCAGUGGCGAAGGCGGCUCACUGGACCGGUAUUGACGCUGAGGAGCGAAAGCGUGGGGAGCGAACAGG